GGAUAACUCCGGGAAACCGGGGCUAAUACCGGAUGCUUGUUUGAACCGCAUGGUUCAAACAUAAAAGGUGGCUUCGGCUACCACUUACAGAUGGACCCGCGGCGCAUUAGCUAGUUGGUGAGGUAACGGCUCACCAAGGCAACGAUGCGUAGCCGACCUGAGAGGGUGAUCGGCCACACUGGGACUGAGACACGGCCCAGACUCCUACGGGAGGCAGCAGUAGGGAAUCUUCCGCAAUGGACGAAAGUCUGACGGAGCAACGCCGCGUGAGUGAUGAAGGUUUUCGGAUCGUAAAGCUCUGUUGUUAGGGAAGAACAAGUGCCGUUCAAAUAGGGCGGCACCUUGACGGUACCUAACCAGAAAGCCACGGCUAACUACGUGCCAGCAGCCGCGGUAAUACGUAGGUGGCAAGCGUUGUCCGGAAUUAUUGGGCGUAAAGGGCUCGCAGGCGGUUUCUUAAGUCUGAUGUGAAAGCCCCCGGCUCAACCGGGGAGGGUCAUUGGAAACUGGGGAACUUGAGUGCAGAAGAGGAGAGUGGAAUUCCACGUGUAGCGGUGAAAUGCGUAGAGAUGUGGAGGAACACCAGUGGCGAAGGCGACUCUCUGGUCUGUAACUGACGCUGAGGAGCGAAAGCGUGGGGAGCGAACAGGAUUAGAUACCCUGGUAGUCCACGCCGUAAACGAUGAGUGCUAAGUGUUAGGGGGUUUCCGCCCCUUAGUGCUGCAGCUAACGCAUUAAGCACUCCGCCUGGGGAGUACGGUCGCAAGACUGAAACUCAAAGGAAUUGACGGGGGCCCGCACAAGCGGUGGAGCAUGUGGUUUAAUUCGAAGCAACGCGAAGAACCUUACCAGGUCUUGACAUCCUCUGACAACCCUAGAGAUAGGGCUUCCCCUUCGGGGGCAGAGUGACAGGUGGUGCAUGGUUGUCGUCAGCUCGUGUCGUGAGAUGUUGGGUUAAGUCCCGCAACGAGCGCAACCCUUGAUCUUAGUUGCCAGCAUUCAGUUGGGCACUCUAAGGUGACUGCCGGUGACAAACCGGAGGAAGGUGGGGAUGACGUCAAAUCAUCAUGCCCCUUAUGACCUGGGCUACACACGUGCUACAAUGGACAGAACAAAGGGCAGCGAGACCGCGAGGUUAAGCCAAUCCCACAAAUCUGUUCUCAGUUCG
RNAcentral lists this ribosomal RNA (1168 nucleotides) under Bacillus atrophaeus. RNAcentral describes it as "partial 16S ribosomal RNA". It matches the Rfam family "Bacterial small subunit ribosomal RNA", at positions 141 to 1295 of the family's 1533-position model. Lineage: Bacteria; Bacillati; Bacillota; Bacilli; Caryophanales; Bacillaceae. The record is from RNAcentral.